RNAcentral lists this ribosomal RNA (189 nucleotides) under Salinimicrobium catena. Its description in RNAcentral is "16S rRNA. Bacterial SSU". It matches the Rfam family "Bacterial small subunit ribosomal RNA", at positions 1 to 186 of the family's 1533-position model. The record is from RNAcentral. Lineage: Bacteria; Pseudomonadati; Bacteroidota; Flavobacteriia; Flavobacteriales; Flavobacteriaceae.
UAACGAUGAAGAGUUUGAUCCUGGCUCAGGAUGAACGCUAGCGGCAGGCUUAACACAUGCAAGUCGAGGGGUAACAGGGUGCUUGCACCGCUGACGACCGGCGCACGGGUGCGUAACGCGUAUACAAUCUACCUUUUACAGGGGCAUAGCCCGGGGAAACCCGGAUUAAUAUCCCAUGGUAUCAUUGGA